GCCAUCCACAUUGAGAACUGCCAUUGUGAGUGCAGGGAAGAAAAGAGAAGAGCGUGUUACACAGCCGCCUCACCCAGGUUCUGCACUAACACCCUUGAGCUCAUCCCCUGAUCCUAUGCAGGUUGAUGUGGCCCACUGACACUUGACCACCGAGGAAAGGGAGCGAAGUCAACGCAAUAACUUGUUCUUCUACUGUGGCAGGCCUGGGCAUGCACUCCCUUUCUGCCUGUCACGGACCCCAACCUGAAAAGUAUGGGGAAACAAACAAGCCCAAGUUUUCUCAGGGACCCAGCUGAGUCUACCAGGCCACUCACCGCAUCUCCAAGUUCCAGUUCAGUUGUGCAUCUCCAGAGAAACACGACAGGGGCCAUUGCAUUGGGCACUUUUUGGGGCUGUGAAUAAUAUCAUAAAUUUUGAGACAGCCCAAGGUCUGCAAUUCCUCGUCUGGCAGAAGUCACAUCAGAUGAUGUGGGAACCAUUAACAAGACCCUCUUGUCCUCAGGACUGGUUACUCAGGUGAUGGUGCCCCUGGAAGCGGUAACCCAGGUACACAAAGAAAUGCUGACAUUCACUGUGGUUAGUAUGACAUGACCCCCAUGUUCUCUGGCAAACCCUCCAAGUGCUAUCAGCAGGCCUGUCGCCAUAGCAACUUGUCUCCACAAGCCCAUUCCCAUACAGUGGUGAGUCCACUCCUGUACAUACUGGGGCUCACAGCAACUGGCUGCAGUGAACCAUUCGUCGGUAGACUACCAGGCUCUGAACAAAAUGGCAGUUUGGAACCACGGAUUUCAUUGUAGAACUCCCUGAAUCAAAUGGCCACAUGGUACAACUGACUAUCGUAGAUCAAUUGACCAAGAUAGCAGGCUUCAUUCCCUGUGACCGCGUACCUUUGGCUGAGAGCACAGAUUAGCUCCAACUUUGCAAACCAUGAUGCCAACGACACCUUUUUUUGCUAACUAUAAAGUAACCCCUGAUUUCAUCCCACACUACCAAUGGCCUCUCUGAACUUGCCAGAUAACAACCUGGUUCAAUGAAACCACCACAUUCAAGAAGAACUAAGGGGGCACCUAGAGGACACUAGGAAGAACUACAAAUAGUAUGGAUACUGCCAAUGACAGGAGGGGUCUUCUGAGCAGGGAAACUAGUUGCUGAAUGGAGGCUCUGGGCGCUGUCCAUGCCUCCUACAUCAAUGGAGCCUGCAGCUGGCCCAGCUUGGGGAACCAUGACCUCAUCCUGUCAAGCGAGAACAGCUGGUUCUCAGUGAUGCUUAGAUGGCAAAUCACACAUCUCUCACGGAGGUAGGAACUACUCACUCAUCUCAGCGAUUGCGGAUGUUGGGACAAAGAUCAAGUUCCUGAAAAAGCAUCCCCAAAGGAGGUGUAAUGAUCCUGGACUCUAUUGCCUGCAAGAAGCUUCAGACUGGAGCUCCAGCAGAUUCCCCUGAAGAACACCACCCUGUCUUUCUGUGGUCAGGGUAGGGCUCUCCGUCCAUCGUGGAGGUUAAGACCAGAUGGGAGCUGAUGGAUUGACUUUGAUAUGCCACAUCCUUGUGUGGAUGAGGGACCUACAUCACAGAGAUGGCCAGUAGCAGAUGUACCACACAUGGCCAGGAAUGGGCUACACAA
Malaclemys terrapin pileata is the source of this 1625-nucleotide long non-coding RNA. RefSeq lists it as uncharacterized. The transcript has 3 exons. NCBI's taxonomy places the organism in Eukaryota, Metazoa, Chordata, Testudines, Emydidae. The record is from RefSeq and is a predicted model, not a curated record.